Long non-coding RNA from Artibeus jamaicensis (Jamaican fruit-eating bat), 1611 nucleotides. RefSeq lists it as uncharacterized. The transcript is spliced from 3 exons. The record is from RefSeq and is a predicted model, not a curated record. NCBI's taxonomy places the organism in Eukaryota, Metazoa, Chordata, Mammalia, Chiroptera, Phyllostomidae.
AAAAGACGUUGGCAGCAAGAGGUUAAUGUUCUCCUCUCUCCUCUGGGAGGCUGAAGCUGGUGGCUGAGGCCUUUGUCAACACAUUGCUACUGUCCUUUGCCAGCAUAGAUGCCUGUUUCCAAGAGGGGUGAUGCCAAUGGUUUGUAUUCUGCACUUAUUCAGAAAAGGAAGGAAACAUGACCUGGUUUCCUUAUUUUCCCACAUUUCCAAAUGGAUGAUGAAUGCCUAAGGUCCCCAUGGGUUAAGGUCCCAUCUCUGACACUCAAGCCUGGUGGUCAGGGCUCCUGUGCUCCCAGCUGUUCAUAUGGGGAGAAGAGAUCCCAUCACUCAUUCUAACACCAUUCUCCACCCGCUCAUCCCCUACAGCUACCCUCUUUGGGAGGAAAGUCAUUAAUGAUUAUAGUGGAGACCAGGGGAGGGGUACCCUUCUUUCCCACCAGGUAUCUACCUGCCAUUCACCUGAAAGGUGAACAGUGGCAGCUGUAGGGAUGGUGCCUGUUUCUGGGCUUUUCUCUUUCUCACUUAUAUCUGACAUCUCAGGAACAGUUGGAAUUGUACCUUCUGCAAAAUAGAGAACUCUUCCCAAAGUCUGCAGUGUUACAGGGAAUCUGAGGUCCUGGUGAAGCUGAUGGGGCCUGAGGAGAAGUUGGUGAAUUGGGUUUGAUCCCAAGUUUUCUCCUUUCUGCUCACAUGUAAGAAGUCAAUCAGUCACAUGAUGAGGAAGAGGGUGCCAAACAAUGUCUUGUCUUCUGAUCCUGUCUCAGCCACACUGAAAACUCACCAGAAACUAUUGCAAGGGGAAAAAAGUCAUUGCCUGUUAGUGUCCAAGAGCAAUACCAGUUUGGGGAAACUUCUAAAAGACUGGUAUGGUCAUGUGAGUGUGUCUGGACAUGCCUAUGGGCUCAUUCUUUCCAAGCUAUUUCUCAUUCACUGCCUCUUUCUUUUGCAGAAAUGUGAGUUUCUCCUCUUAAAGGUCUAUACCAUUUAGAAAGUGAUGUUUUUCCAAGUAUUCCACGUGAAAAUUAUGUUAAAAAGGCUUCUCAAUAUGUAUGGAAACUUAGGAAGUUGGACAUAAUCAAGAAGAAACUAAUUAAGGGAAAUUACCAUCAAGUCAAAGAUUUUGUGUGGGCCAUGGACAAUUUCUUUUGGGACCCCAGGCACAUAUAUUUAUACUUAAUAAAGGAAGAAUUUAUGAAGGAUUACAAAAAAAUCUUUGCUAUUCGGGAGACAAAUUAGAACAGUUCACUGGUGCAGUGGAUGCUGUUGGAACUCUGAAAAUCCCAUCGUCAAGCAGAUUUCUUAUCUCCCUGCUUCUGUUAGGAUUGGCUGCUAAUAUCACCUCUCUCCAGUGUAUUGCUUCAAGCCACAUGGAGCCAGAUUCACCUAAUCACUAUAUCUUUUUAGCCGGGGGUUUUGUUCCCAGCCCCAAGGUUGAACCAACGAUGCACAGUGAUUUAUGUUCCCGUGUCCCCAGGUACUCAAGCUAGAGAUAUUGUCCAGCUGUGAGCAUGUCCUUGCUUCAUUUUCCCCUCCAUGAAGAGAAAGUAAGAGAUAACCCUGCUUCCCUUACCCUCCUCCUCCUCAGAGAAUUCUCACAAUAAAUCACUUAUU